CCAAGGAGUUCAGCGUGUACGCGAGUCAUUGGGUUGUAAAACCCAAAGGCGUAAUGAAAGUGAAGGGAGCUUCGCGUUUCUGAGGGAGGAUGAGUCGGUUACCCGCAAGGGGCUGCUCCGCACUCCCGGGGCGUCUCUUUCUCAUUGCGAGUGGAGGCGCACCCAGAGCGUACACGCUGAUACCCGAAAGAUGGUGAACUAUGCCUGGCCAGGACGAAGCCAGGGGAAACCCUGGUGGAGGUCCGCAGCGAUUCUGACGUGCAAAUCGAUCGUCGGAGCUGGGUAUAGGGGCGAAAGACCAAUCGAACCAUCUAGUAGCUGGUUCCCUCCGAAGUUUCCCUCAGGAUAGCUUGCGCUCAUGUGAACGAGUCUCAUCCGGUAGAGCGAAUGAUUAGAGGCCUUGGGGUCGAAACGACCUCAACCUAUUCUCAAACUCCAAAUAGAUGAGAACUCCGGCUUUCUUGAACUUUGUUUUUGAAGCCGGGGGCUCGGAUCAGAGUGCCAAGUGGGCCAAUUUU
Molecule: ribosomal RNA, 518 nt
Filed under: Plagiognathus chrysanthemi
Lineage: Eukaryota; Metazoa; Arthropoda; Insecta; Hemiptera; Miridae
Description: eukaryotic LSU rRNA
Rfam family: Eukaryotic large subunit ribosomal RNA
Source: RNAcentral